Molecule: ribosomal RNA, 253 nt
Filed under: uncultured prokaryote
Description: partial 16S ribosomal RNA
Rfam family: Bacterial small subunit ribosomal RNA
Source: RNAcentral
UACAGAGGGUGCAAGCGUUAAUCGGAAUUACUGGGCGUAAAGCGUGUGUAGGUGGUUUGUUAAGUCAGAUGUGAAAUCCCUGGGCUCAACCUGGGAACUGCAUUUGAUACUGUCAGACUAGAGUGUGGUAGAGGGUAGUGGAAUUCCGCAUGUAGCGGUGAAAUGCGUAGAGAUGCGGAGGAACACCAGUGGCGAAGGCGGCUACCUGGACCAACACUGACACUGAGGCACGAAAGCGUGGGUAGCAAACAGG